GCUGGACCUUACACCUCUCUGUGUUUGCAGUGCUGGCUGUUGUUUGGGGCUCCACCUUUGCUGCAGAAACGGAGGUGAUCUACGCCUGUCACAACCAGACCGCUGAGAUGUCCUGCGACGUCGGCACCAGCAUUAGCCUGGAGCACAUCCUGUAUAAGGUUGGCGUGGGGACGCGAUGUGGCGAGGGGAAGCGUCACCCGGACGACGGGGAGGGCGUGUACUGCAGCUUCCCCUGGGCAGAGAUGGUGGUGGAGGACCUAUGUGGGAACAAGAGAACCUGUAAAGUCCCCGUGACUGAGCUGGUCUUCGGUGAAUAUCCCUGUGAGGAGCAGACUCGCUAUCUGGAAGUUUCCUACAGCUGCGCCAAACCUCCACCUCCACCUCAACCACCAGCACCAGUGAAAGUAGCUCAACCUGACUGUGAGGAGAAAGCAGCAGGUGAAGCAUGACGUCACACACGCAGGAGAAGAGGAAACCUCCUUCAAAGUAAAACCUGAGAGCUUUUAUUCUGAAAGGGUUUAACGUUUACAG
This 531-nucleotide long non-coding RNA is filed under the name Gouania willdenowi (blunt-snouted clingfish). Its description in RNAcentral is "lncRNA (ENSGWIG00000013702.1)". Lineage: Eukaryota; Metazoa; Chordata; Actinopteri; Blenniiformes; Gobiesocidae. The record is from RNAcentral.